Molecule: long non-coding RNA, 331 nt
Filed under: Bos taurus (domestic cattle)
Lineage: Eukaryota; Metazoa; Chordata; Mammalia; Artiodactyla; Bovidae
Description: long non-coding RNA NONBTAT006282
Source: RNAcentral
CCUGGAGAUUCCAGAGGCAAAAAAAAAGAGGACCUGCAGAAAGACCAUGUUCUAUGCCUGCCAGCCUGAGAUGCCCUGCAAUCUGUUCUUACAAGUAUUGAGGAGCCUCAGGAGUUGUCUUAAUAAGAGCCAUUAAUAGCAUGGGGCAUAUUUAUUAUCACCAUGGGGAAACCACGACCACCUUUGUAGGUGAGAGUACGCUUUGUAGGUGAGAGUACACUCCGUAGGGAGAGUAUGCUAUAUUCAAAUAUCACCCAGGUUUGAGAGCAAUUCAUCCUCAUCAGCGAAAGAGAAGUGAGCAAAGUGCACACCAAGUGUGACUGAUGACUGU